GAUGAACGCUGGCGGCGUGCUUAACACAUGCAAGUCGAACGGAAAGGCCUCUGCUUGCAGGGGUACUCGAGUGGCGAACGGGUGAGUAACACGUGGGUGAUCUGCCCUGCACUUCGGGAUAAGCCUGGGAAACUGGGUCUAAUACCGGAUAGGACAAUGGUUUGGAUGCUGUUGUGGAAAGUUUUUCGGUGUGGGAUGAGCUCGCGGCCUAUCAGCGUGUUGGUGGGGUAAUGGCCUACCAAGGAGUCGACGGGUAGCCGGCCUGAGAGGGUGUACGGCCACAUGGGAACUUGGAUCCGGCCCAGACUCCUGCGUGAGGCGGGAGUGAGGAGUAGUGAACAAUGGGCGCAGGGCUGAUGCAGCAACGACGCGUGCGGGGUGAGGGACUUCGGGUUGUAAACUCCUUUGGCUAGGGACGAGGCAUUUUUGUGACGGUACCUGGAGAAGAAGCACCGGCUAACUACGUG
Molecule: ribosomal RNA, 467 nt
Filed under: uncultured bacterium
Lineage: Bacteria
Description: partial 16S ribosomal RNA
Rfam family: Bacterial small subunit ribosomal RNA
Source: RNAcentral